AAAUUGAAGAGUUUGAUCAUGGCUCAGAUUGAACGCUGGCGGCAGGCCUAACACAUGCAAGUCGAGCGGUAGCACAGAGAGCUUGCUCUCGGGUGACGAGCGGCGGACGGGUGAGUAAUGUCUGGGAAACUGCCUGAUGGAGGGGGAUAACUACUGGAAACGGUAGCUAAUACCGCAUAACGUCGCAAGACCAAAGUGGGGACCUUCGGGCCUCAUGCCAUCAGAUGUGCCCAGAUGGGAUUAGCUAGUAGGUGGGGUAACGGCUCACCUAGGCGACGAUCCCUAGCUGGUCUGAGAGGAUGACCAGCCACACUGGAACUGAGACACGGUCCAGACUCCUACGGGAGGCAGCAGUGGGGAAUAUUGCACAAUGGGCGCAAGCCUGAUGCAGCCAUGCCGCGUGUGUGAAGAAGGCCUUCGGGUUGUAAAGCACUUUCAGCGGGGAGGAAGGCGUUAAGGUUAAUAACCUUGGCGAUUGACGUUACCCGCAGAAGAAGCACCGGCUAACUCCGUGCCAGCAGCCGCGGUAAUACGGAGGGUGCAAGCGUUAAUCGGAAUUACUGGGCGUAAAGCGCACGCAGGCGGUCUGUCAAGUCGGAUGUGAAAUCCCCGGGCUCAACCUGGGAACUGCAUUCGAAACUGGCAGGCUAGAGUCUUGUAGAGGGGGGGUAGAAUUCCAGGUGUAGCGGUGAAAUGCGUAGAGAUCUGGAGGAAUACCGGUGGCGAAGGCGGCCCCCUGGACAAAGACUGACGCUCAGGUGCGAAAGCGUGGGGAGCAAACAGGAUUAGAUACCCUGGUAGUCCACGCCGUAAACGAUGUCGAUUUGGAGGUUGUGCCCUUGAGGCGUGGCUUCCGGAGCUAACGCGUUAAAUCGACCGCCUGGGGAGUACGGCCGCAAGGUUAAAACUCAAAUGAAUUGACGGGGGCCCGCACAAGCGGUGGAGCAUGUGGUUUAAUUCGAUGCAACGCGAAGAACCUUACCUGGUCUUGACAUCCACAGAACUUUCCAGAGAUGGAUUGGUGCCUUCGGGAACUGUGAGACAGGUGCUGCAUGGCUGUCGUCAGCUCGUGUUGUGAAAUGUUGGGUUAAGUCCCGCAACGAGCGCAACCCUUAUCCUUUGUUGCCAGCGGUUAGGCCGGGAACUCAAAGGAGACUGCCAGUGAUAAACUGGAGGAAGGUGGGGAUGACGUCAAGUCAUCAUGGCCCUUACGACCAGGGCUACACACGUGCUACAAUGGCAUAUACAAAGAGAAGCGACCUCGCGAGAGCAAGCGGACCUCAUAAAGUAUGUCGUAGUCCGGAUUGGAGUCUGCAACUCGACUCCAUGAAGUCGGAAUCGCUAGUAAUCGUAGAUCAGAAUGCUACGGUGAAUACGUUCCCGGGCCUUGUACACACCGCCCGUCACACCAUGGGAGUGGGUUGCAAAAGAAGUAGGUAGCUUAACCUUCGGGAGGGCGCUUACCACUUUGUGAUUCAUGACUGGGGUGAAGUCGUAACAAGGUAACCGUAGGGGAACCUGCGGUUGGAUCACCUCCUUA
Molecule: ribosomal RNA, 1540 nt
Filed under: Klebsiella pneumoniae
Lineage: Bacteria; Pseudomonadati; Pseudomonadota; Gammaproteobacteria; Enterobacterales; Enterobacteriaceae
Description: 16S ribosomal RNA
Rfam family: Bacterial small subunit ribosomal RNA
Source: RNAcentral